CGAGUGCAGAGCCAGGGCCCAGCACGAAGGCCUUGGGCUCCAGUCCGUGUGCCCCACAUCCCUACAUGAGUGAGGGUGGAGGGAUGGUGCCUCUGCCACGGCCACGGUGCCGCCGUCCACGUCAGCUCACUCUCAGCACAGGUGCUGUGUGACGGCCUCGGGCCACACCGCUUGUUCUGAGGCCCCUAGCAGGUCGGGCUUGUGCUGGCUGCACAUUGGCUGGUGAGCUUGGCGGGUCUGUGGGCACGGAGAGACCAGAACGUGCGUAACAGGCCCGAUGAGGGUGCCAGGCUGUGGCGACCCCCGAGCUUCAGAGGAGAGGGGCACCAGCCGGGGGCCCUGCACAGGCAGCCUCAGAGAGAGGAAAGCUCACGAUCUGGGAGAACUCCAGGCCUGGCCCAGUGAAGACGUCCUUAUCUUCAGCAGACAUUGCCCAGUGCAAGGGGAGGGAUUUUUAGGGCGGCAAGCUCAGGUGGACAGGCAGUUUUAUUCUGUUUCCCAUGUCAAGUCCAGCCCCAGACUGACUUUCUGAGUCUCCUAUGGACCAUCUGUCUUCUGUGUGGCUGCUGAGGAAUCACACUGGGGUGGCCGUGCCGGUGGCUGAAUGAGAACAGGACCCCCAUGCUGCACAGCCCUGCUUAACGCGGGGGUGGCCCCAGAAGCGGGUGGGCGAGGCUGGGCAGCAGGGAUUGGCUGAAAUCAUAUGCAGAGCCCAAGAGGCAGGGGAAAGGCGGCAAUUUCAGGGUCCCUUUGUUCGCCAGGUACCUGGGGCCCAGCCCGGGCGGCAGGAGGGACUCAGCCCCUCGCCCAGGCAGGAAGGGUCCCAAGCAGAGGCCCCUCCCUCAGGCACUCCCCAGCCCACACCUGCAGCACUGGGACCAAGACUAAUAAAACACCAGCCUCACGGAAGACAGCUUUAUCUUGUUGAUCGGAAGUCUGCCAGCCCAAUUUAUGAUGGAACAUAAGAUCUCUAAAUCUGAAUUUACGCUCUGUAGCGUAACGAGAGGUCAAUAAGAUUAAACGGGGGCUCAGGAGAGGACCAGCGUCAGGCUCACUGCGAGGUGCUGCACAGAAAACCCACAGCCAGAGCCCCUGGGCCCAGCCCAGGCAAGACCAGAAAAGGAGGGGGCAGGUGGGAGACCAGCCUGGGGCUCCCGGGAAGCCCACGGGAUGGAGGCGGGAGAGCCAGGAGGCCUGGGGCAACCCUGGGACGGUUCCUGGAUCGAGGAGAGCAGGGGGGUGAUGAGGGUUCCCUCAGGGCUGGGGAGCCUUCUCCUGGUCUCAGACCCACCCCCCUUCAGCUCCCAAGCCCUGGGUGCCCCUGGCUCUGAGGACAGUUGGGAAUCUUCCCUGAGGCAGGUUCAAGGACAGAGCUCUGACCCUGGCCCAGGGCUGCUUUGGGUGCCUAUGAACUCGGCUUCUGGCUCAGAGCAGUUCCCUGCACCCCUUCCUGAGCCCUCUGUCCUCUGGAACCCGUGGGCAGGGUGAGGGACGGGUGUUCCUUCUGGGUGGGGGCCUGGGCGCCCAGCCAGCACGACGCUGGCUUGCUGAGCUUAGGGCAGACCCCGACUUCAGAAUUUAUACAAAUAAAUGCAAUGAAAAGUGCUGGCAACCUGAUCUGAUUACAGAGUCAUUCAUUCUCUGGUCGUUAAUAAUUUGUGCA
RNAcentral lists this long non-coding RNA (1663 nucleotides) under Homo sapiens (human). RNAcentral describes it as "HSALNT0289684". The record is from RNAcentral. Lineage: Eukaryota; Metazoa; Chordata; Mammalia; Primates; Hominidae.